This is a long non-coding RNA of Gallus gallus (chicken), 1653 nucleotides long. The record is from Ensembl. NCBI's taxonomy places the organism in Eukaryota, Metazoa, Chordata, Aves, Galliformes, Phasianidae.
GAGAUAUGUGCUCCCUACUGGAUCUUACACUUCGAAAUGUGAAUGCUGGAAAAGUUUGAGGCAAUUCAGGAAAGAACGAUAGGAAUGCAGCGUGAUCUGGAAAAUAUGCCUCUUUUCUGUCGGCAUCAUGGGAGAACUAAGGAACUCGUAGCCAAUUGACCAUAAGAUUAAGGUUUGAAUGAGCAAACUAACCAAAGGACAAAGCACAGGAAACCUUGACUUCGGUGUCUGCAUCCCACUGCCCUUUGACCAUUAUUCACCGUCUCCCUUUAUGAAUUGAACUAAAGAACUUGACAAUAACGAGCCUGCAGACUGCUGAAACAUCUAUAUUAAGUUAACCACGUGCCGGGGACAUGCCUCUAUCAUCCUGGAUCAGUUCCUGAUGACUGACCUUCUGCAGGAGCAGUGGACUGCAUUCAUGAGGAGGCACCACUUUUGCUGCCCUAAGUGUUUUCUCUUCUGUCCUGAAGCAGAAGUCUAUCUCCAAACACUACCACGUCAGCUCCAAGCCGAUGGCAAUAAUACCCAUCUUUCUGUAACCAACCCCUUGGAAUCAUUUGAAGCACUGAAACGACAAGACUGUCCACGGGGGAAAGGACACAAAGACAUCAAAUAUUGACCAAUUAUAGGGCUUAAAACAAAGGAAUGAGCAUGCCUUGUAUUGCAUAUCAUUGGAUUACGUUCUCGAUACUUUGCAAAGGUCUCCUCCAUCCCUGGUGCCCGGCUGUACUCAACAAUACCCCUAAAGACCACUUGGGACGAGUGGCCGUUCUGACCUCACCACCCUGCCAGCUCCCAGGGCUUUUCUCUAGUCCUCGGUAACCAAUCUGUUCAGCAGUGCUUUGCUGUGAUUUCCCUUUUGUUGUCACUGUUUAUUUUUCUGUGGAAUUACAUGCUCUAAUUGCGUAAAUAAACAGUCAGAAACCAACCCAAACUGCUGGGCAUCCUGAGGGCUUUCCCUUCCCUGCAGACUCACUGCCCAUUUCCAGGUUCCCACUAUCUUUGCUUUUCUCCUUUUGUUCCUUCUUGUACUGCCUAGAGGGGAGAAUUUGUCACCGAGUGUGAGGAACGCUCCAACUCCUGAGAAAAUCAUAAACAGGCUGCAGUCCCUCAUGAAAGACAGGAAAACAAAUGUGUGAAAGGCAAAAUCCACCAUCUUUAAUUUAUUUUUCAUUGAAAAGCUGAUUGCACUCAUCCUCAGAAUCAUCAGAAAUGCCUCAAAGUGUUGCAAAGCACACAGGUGCUCGGGCCAACCCCUGGGACUCGCGGCCAGAUUUGUCACCUGCAUUCAGUGCCAAUGGAGAUGAUGACCCUACCUGCUCCAUCCCUAAGGAAGCCUCAGGUAGGGGUGCAGGUCCCCAUCCCAAAGGUAGGGAGCAACACGCAAACAUGGCCCAGGACAUCUUUUCCAAGACAUUGUCAGCUAAGAUGUGAGAAAAACGACUUGCCACGGGAUCAUGCUUUUUCUAAAGCCUUUGAGAAAAAGAAUGACUUUGGAAGAGCCCUGUAACAUUCAAUAGAUGCAACUCCUUAACACAUCUAAAUAAAAGUAUGGAUAAUUCCAAUAGACACUGCUUUAAAAACAAACAAAUAAACAAACAACCCCAUCAAGCUAACUGAAUACAAAUGAUAAUCUUACCUGGGAUUUGUAUU